RNAcentral lists this ribosomal RNA (783 nucleotides) under uncultured bacterium. RNAcentral's name for it is "bacterial SSU rRNA". It matches the Rfam family "Bacterial small subunit ribosomal RNA", at positions 77 to 873 of the family's 1533-position model. The record is from RNAcentral.
UCUUCGGAUGUGUAUAAAGUGGCGAACGGCUGAGUAACACGUGGGCAACCUGCCCUUUGCACUGGGAUAGCCUCGGGAAACCGAGGUUAAUACCGGAUACUCCAUAUUUGUCGCAUGGCGAAUAUGGGAAAGCUCCGGCGGCAAAGGAUGGGCCCGCGGCCUGUUAGCUAGUUGGUGGGGUAGUGGCCUACCAAGGCAAUGAUGGGUAGCCGGGUUGAGAGACCGACCGGCCAGAUUGGGACUGAGACACGGCCCAGACCCCUACGGGAGGCAGCAGUGGGGAAUCUUGCACAAUGGGCGAAAGCCUGAUGCAGCGACGCCGCGUGCGGGAUGAAGGCCUUCGGGUUGUAAACCGCUUUCAGCAGGGACGAGGCCGCAAGGUGACGGUACCUGCAGAAGAAGCCCCGGCUAACUACGUGCCAGCAGCCGCGGUAAUACGUAGGGGGCAAGCGUUAUCCGGAUUCAUUGGGCGUAAAGCGCGCGUAGGCGGUCUGUUAGGUCAGGAGUUAAAUCUGGGGGCUCAACCCCUAUCCGCUCCUGAUACCGGCAGGCUUGAGUCUGGUAGGGGAAGAUGGAAUUCCAAGUGUAGCGGUGAAAUGCGCAGAUAUUUGGAAGAACACCGGUGGCGAAGGCGGUCUUCUGGGCCAUGACUGACGCUAAGGCGCGAAAGCUAGGGGAGCGAACAGGAUUAGAUACCCUGGUAGUCCUAGCUGUAAACGAUGGACACUAGGUGUGGGGAGAUUAUACUUUCCGUGCCGCAGCUAACGCAUUAAGUGUCCCGCC